This 475-nucleotide ribosomal RNA is filed under the name uncultured bacterium. Its description in RNAcentral is "bacterial SSU rRNA". It matches the Rfam family "Bacterial small subunit ribosomal RNA", at positions 28 to 526 of the family's 1533-position model. The record is from RNAcentral.
GACGAACGCUGGCGGCGUGCUUAACACAUGCAAGUCGAGCGGACCCUUCGGGGUUAGCGGCGAACGGGUGAGUAACACGUGAGCAAUCUGCCUCUGGCUUCGGGAUAAGCCCGGGAAACCGGGUCUAAUACCGGAUAUGACUUCCUGCCGCAUGGUGGGGGGUGGAAAGAUUUAUCGGCCUGAGAUGAGCUCGCGGCCUAUCAGCUUGUUGGUGGGGUAGUGGCCUACCAAGGCGACGACGGGUAGCCGGCCUGAGAGGGUGGACGGCCACACUGGGACUGAGACACGGCCCAGACUCCUACGGGAGGCAGCAGUGGGGAAUCUUGCGCAAUGGGCGAAAGCCUGACGCAGCGACGCCGCGUGGGGGAUGACGGCCUUCGGGUUGUAAACCUCUUUCAGCAGGGAAGAAGCCGUAAGGUGACGGUACCUGCAGAAGAAGCACCGGCUAACUACGUGCCAGCCGCCGCAGUAAAAC